GACGAACGCUGGCGGCGUGCCUAACGCAUGCAAGUCGAACGGAACUGUUUUGAAAGAUUUCUUCGGAAUGAAUUUGAUUUAGUUUAGUGGCGGACGGGUGAGUAACGCGUGAGUAACCUGCCUUCAAGAGGGGGAUAACAUUCUGAAAAGAAUGCUAAUACCGCAUGAUAUAUCGGAACCACAUGGUUCUGAUAUCAAAGAUUUUAUCGCUUGAAGAUGGACUCGCGUCCGAUUAGUUAGUUGGUGAGGUAACGGCUCACCAAGACUGCGAUCGGUAGCCGGACUGAGAGGUUGAACGGCCACAUUGGGACUGAGACACGGCCCAGACUCCUACGGGAGGCAGCAGUGGGGGAUAUUGCGCAAUGGGGGCAACCCUGACGCAGCAACGCCGCGUGAAGGAUGAAGGUUUUCGGAUUGUAAACUUCUUUUAUUAAGGACGAAAAAUGACGGUACUUAAUGAAUAAGCU
This 467-nucleotide ribosomal RNA is filed under the name uncultured bacterium. RNAcentral's name for it is "bacterial SSU rRNA". It matches the Rfam family "Bacterial small subunit ribosomal RNA", at positions 28 to 492 of the family's 1533-position model. The record is from RNAcentral.